RNAcentral lists this ribosomal RNA (301 nucleotides) under uncultured bacterium. RNAcentral describes it as "partial 16S ribosomal RNA". It matches the Rfam family "Bacterial small subunit ribosomal RNA", at positions 509 to 807 of the family's 1533-position model. The record is from RNAcentral.
CAGCCGCCGCGGGAAUACGUAGGGUGCAAGCGUUAAUCGGAAUUAUUGGGCGUAAAGCGAGUGCAGACGGUUACUUAAGCCAGAUGUGAAAUCCCCAAGCUUAACUUGGGACGUGCAUUUGAAACUGGGUGACUAGAGUGUGUCAGAGGGAGGUAGAAUUCCACAUGUAGCGGUGGAAUGCGUAGAGAUGUGGAGGAAUACCGAUGGCGAAGGCAGCCUCCUGGGAUAACACUGACGUUGAGGCUCGAAAGCGUGGGGAGCGAACAGGAUUAGAUACCCCUGUAGUCCCUGUCUCUUAUAC